Molecule: ribosomal RNA, 466 nt
Filed under: uncultured bacterium
Lineage: Bacteria
Description: bacterial SSU rRNA
Rfam family: Bacterial small subunit ribosomal RNA
Source: RNAcentral
CCUACGGGUGGCUGCAGUGGGGAAUUUUGGGCAAUGGGCGCAAGCCUGACCCAGCGACGCUGCGUGGGUGAUGACGGUCUUUGGAUUGUAAAACCCUUUUAUGGAGGAGUAAGGCGGGAAGGAGGAAAUGCCUUUCCGUUUGACAGUACUCCAUGAAUAAGCCCCAGCCAACUACGUGCCAGCAGCUGCGGUAAUACGUAGGGGGCAAGCGUUGUCCGGAAUUACUGGGUGUAAAGGGUGUGCAGGCGUCUCCCUAAGUUGAUUGUGAAAGCCCGAAGCUCAACUUCGGAACGGCAGUCAAUACUGGGGGGAUGGAGGUUAUGGGAGGGAAGUGGAAUUCUCGGUGUAGCGGUGAAAUGCGUAGAUAUCGAGAGGAACACCGGUGGCGAAGGCGGCUUCCUAUCAUAGACCUGACGCUCAUACACGAAAGCUAGGGGAGCAAACAGGAUUAGAUACCCCUGUAGUC